AUUCCAUGAUGAGGCACUUCCGUAAUAAUUCUUUGUACCUCUCCCAUGCCUCAUACAAGGACUCAUCAUCCAUUUGUUGGAAAGUAGUGAUCUCGUUCCUCAACUU
Molecule: non-coding RNA, 106 nt
Organism: Gossypium hirsutum (cotton)
Lineage: Eukaryota; Viridiplantae; Streptophyta; Magnoliopsida; Malvales; Malvaceae
Source: Rfam